GAUGAACGCUAGCUACAGGCUUAACACAUGCAAGUCGAGGGGCAGCAUGGUCUUAGCUUGCUAAGGCCGAUGGCGACCGGCGCACGGGUGAGUAACACGUAUCCAACCUGCCGUCUACUCUUGGACAGCCUUCUGAAAGGAAGAUUAAUACAAGAUGGCAUCAUGAGUCCGCAUGUUCACAUGAUUAAAGGUAUUCCGGUAGACGAUGGGGAUGCGUUCCAUUAGAUAGUAGGCGGGGUAACGGCCCACCUAGUCUUCGAUGGAUAGGGGUUCUGAGAGGAAGGUCCCCCACAUUGGAACUGAGACACGGUCCAAACUCCUACGGGAGGCAGCAGUGAGGAAUAUUGGUCAAUGGGCGAGAGCCUGAACCAGCCAAGUAGCGUGAAGGAUGACUGCCCUAUGGGUUGUAAACUUCUUUUAUAAAGGAAUAAAGUCGGGUAUGGAUACCCGUUUGCAUGUACUUUAUGAAUAAGGAUCGGCUAACUCCGUGCCAGCAGCCGCGGUAAUACGGAGGAUCCGAGCGUUAUCCGGAUUUAUUGGGUUUAAAGGGAGCGUAGAUGGAUGUUUAAGUCAGUUGUGAAAGUUUGCGGCUCAACCGUAAAAUUGCAGUUGAUACUGGAUAUCUUGAGUGCAGUUGAGGCAGGCGGAAUUCGUGGUGUAGCGGUGAAAUGCUUAGAUAUCACGAAGAACUCCGAUUGCGAAGGCAGCCUGCUAAGCUGCAACUGACAUUGAGGCUCGAAAGUGUGGGUAUCAAACAGGAUUAGAUACCCUGGUAGUCCACACGGUAAACGAUGAAUACUCGCUGUUUGCGAUAUACUGCAAGCGGCCAAGCGAAAGCGUUAAGUAUUCCACCUGGGGAGUACGCCGGCAACGGUGAAACUCAAAGGAACUGACGGGGGCCCGCACAAGCGGAGGAACAUGUGGUUUAAUUCGAUGAUACGCGAGGAACCUUACCCGGGCUUAAAUUGCAGAUGAAUUACGGUGAAAGCCGUAAGCCGCAAGGCAUCUGUGAAGGUGCUGCAUGGUUGUCGUCAGCUCGUGCCGUGAGGUGUCGGCUUAAGUGCCAUAACGAGCGCAACCCUUGUUGUCAGUUACUAACAGGUUCCGCUGAGGACUCUGACAAGACUGCCAUCGUAAGAUGUGAGGAAGGUGGGGAUGACGUCAAAUCAGCACGGCCCUUACGUCCGGGGCUACACACGUGUUACAAUGGGGGGUACAGAGGGCCGCUACCACGCGAGUGGAUGCCAAUCCCCAAAACCUCUCUCAGUUCGGACUGGAGUCUGCAACCCGACUCCACGAAGCUGGAUUCGCUAGUAAUCGCGCAUCAGCCACGGCGCGGUGAAUACGUUCCCGGGCCU
Molecule: ribosomal RNA, 1358 nt
Filed under: uncultured bacterium
Lineage: Bacteria
Description: bacterial SSU rRNA
Rfam family: Bacterial small subunit ribosomal RNA
Source: RNAcentral